This 73-nucleotide transfer RNA is filed under the name Podarcis lilfordi (Lilford's wall lizard). RNAcentral's name for it is "tRNA.Lys". The stretch from base 8 to 65 matches the Rfam family "tRNA", at positions 8 to 63 of the family's 71-position model. Rfam says of the family: Transfer RNA (tRNA) molecules are approximately 80 nucleotides in length. The record is from RNAcentral. Lineage: Eukaryota; Metazoa; Chordata; Lepidosauria; Squamata; Lacertidae.
AUCUGGAUAGCUCAGUUGGUAGAGCAUGAGACUCUUAAUCUUAGGAUCGUGAGUUUGAGCCCCACGUUGGGCA